This 345-nucleotide unclassified non-coding RNA is filed under the name soil metagenome. Its description in RNAcentral is "partial contains 5.8S ribosomal RNA, internal transcribed spacer 2, and large subunit ribosomal RNA". The stretch from base 1 to 120 matches the Rfam family "5.8S ribosomal RNA", at positions 35 to 154 of the family's 154-position model. The record is from RNAcentral.
GAUGAAGAACGGAGCGAAAUGCGAUACGUAAUGUGAAUUGCAGAAUUCAGUGAAUCAUCGAGUCUUUGAACGCACAUUGUGCCCCCUGGUAUUCCGGGGGGCAUGCCUGUCCGAGCGUCAUUGCUGCCCUCAAGCACGGCUUGUGUGUUGGGCCUCCGUCCUCCUCCCGGGGGACGGGCCCGAAAGGCAGCGGCGGCACCGCGUCCGGUCCUCGAGCGUAUGGGGCUUCGUCACCCGCUCUUGUAGGCCCGGCCGGCGCUUGCCGACACAUCAAUCUUUUUUCCAGGUUGACCUCGGAUCAGGCAGGGAUACCCGCUGAACUUAAGCAUAUCAAUAAGCGGAGGA